RNAcentral lists this ribosomal RNA (554 nucleotides) under uncultured bacterium. RNAcentral describes it as "partial 16S ribosomal RNA". It matches the Rfam family "Bacterial small subunit ribosomal RNA", at positions 355 to 900 of the family's 1533-position model. The record is from RNAcentral.
UAGGGAAUCUUCCACAAUGGACGCAAGUCUGAUGGAGCAACGCCGCGUGAGUGAAGAAGGUUUUCGGACCGUAAAGCUCUGUUGUUGGUGAAGAAGGAUAGAGGUAGUAACUGGCCUUUAUUUGACGGUAAUCAACCAGAAAGUCACGGCUAACUACGUGCCAGCAGCCACGGUAAUACGUAGGUGGCAAGCGUUGUCCGGAUUUAUUGGGCGUAAAGCGAGCGCAGGCGGAAGAAUAAGUCUGAUGUGAAAGCCCUCGGCUUAACCGAGGAAUUGCAUCGGAAACUGUUUUCUUGAGUGCAGAAGAGGAGAGUAGAACUCCAUGUGUGGCGGUGGAAUGCGUAGAUAUAUGGAAGAAUACCAGUGGCGAAGGCGGCUCUCUGGUCUGCAACUGACGCUGAGGCUCGAAAGCAUGGGUAGCGAACAGGAUUAGAUACCCUGGUAGUCCAUGCCGUAAACGAUGAGUGCUAAGUGUUGGGAGGCUUCCGCCUCUCAGUGCUGCAGCUAACGCAUUAAGCACUCCGCCUGGGGGAGUACGACCGCAAGGUUGAAAC